RNAcentral lists this ribosomal RNA (497 nucleotides) under uncultured bacterium. RNAcentral describes it as "partial 16S ribosomal RNA". It matches the Rfam family "Bacterial small subunit ribosomal RNA", at positions 28 to 507 of the family's 1533-position model. The record is from RNAcentral.
GAUGAACGCUGGCGGCGUGCCUAAUACAUGCAAGUCGAGCGAACGGACGAGAAGCUUGCUUCUCUGAUGUUAGCGGCGGACGGGUGAGUAACACGUGGAUAACCUACCUAUAAGACUGGGAUAACUUCGGGAAACCGGAGCUAAUACCGGAUAAUAUUUUGAACCGCAUGGUUCAAAAGUGAAAGACGGUCUUGCUGUCACUGAUAGAUGGAUCCGCGCUGCAUUAGCUAGUUGGUAAGGUAACGGCUUACCAAGGCAACGAUGCAUAGCCGACCUGAGAGGGUGAUCGGCCACACUGGAACUGAGACACGGUCCAGACUCCUACGGGAGGCAGCAGUAGGGAAUCUUCCGCAAUGGGCGAAAGCCUGACGGAGCAACGCCGCGUGAGUGAUGAAGGUCUUCGGAUCGUAAAACUCUGUUAUUAGGGAAGAACAUAAGUGUAAGUAACUGUGCACAUCUUGACGGUACCUAAUCAGAAAGCCACGGCUAACUACGUG